This 210-nucleotide ribosomal RNA is filed under the name Triticum aestivum (bread wheat). RNAcentral describes it as "partial small subunit ribosomal RNA". Lineage: Eukaryota; Viridiplantae; Streptophyta; Magnoliopsida; Poales; Poaceae. The record is from RNAcentral.
AUGAUCCUGGUGGCGGUCAUGGCGGAGCUGCUGGAGGAGUACACGGCGGCGGUGGCGCGCGCCCUGGAGCGGCUGCUGUCCGCGGCGCCGCUGCGCAUCCUGCCGCGCCGCGUGCGGUUCGUCGUCCUCCGCCCCCUCCCCUUCGCCUCCCCCUCGGCGCCCGUGCCGCCGCCGCCCCCGCACGCCGUCCCCGUUCUGCUCGCGCGCUGA